ACGCGUGAAACCUUACCAAGACUUAAAUGGGAAUUGACAGCUUUAGAAAUAGAGCUUUCUUCGGACAAUUUUCAAGGUGCUGCAUGGUUGUCGUCAGCUCGUGCCGUGAGGUGUUAGGUUAAGUCCUGCAACGAGCGCAACCCCCUGUCACUAGUUGCCAUCAUUCAGUUGGGGACUCUAGUGAGACUGCCUACGCAAGUAGAGAGGAAGGUGGGGAUGACGUCAAAUCAUCACGGCCCUUACGUCUUGG
Molecule: ribosomal RNA, 250 nt
Filed under: uncultured bacterium
Lineage: Bacteria
Description: partial 16S ribosomal RNA
Rfam family: Bacterial small subunit ribosomal RNA
Source: RNAcentral